Eublepharis macularius is the source of this 311-nucleotide long non-coding RNA. RefSeq lists it as uncharacterized. The transcript is spliced from 3 exons. The record is from RefSeq and is a predicted model, not a curated record. Lineage: Eukaryota; Metazoa; Chordata; Lepidosauria; Squamata; Eublepharidae.
AGAAGGGACUCCGAAGACUCGAGAUCUUCCACUUCCACGGCUGCCUCCACUUCGUCCUCAUCUCCCAAGCGACUCUCAGGGGAAAGGACACUUUCCACAAGCUCCAACCCUACUGAGCCUCGGAAAAACUCCACGGAUGGCAAAGAGGAGAGAUCCAAUAGCAAACCAAGGCCGGAUGUACCCAGGACACCAACUAGUCCCAUCUCUCCGACAUUUGCAUCUUCUGCCGUCUUUUUGCCGCCCUGCUAUCUGACCGGAGAUUCCAUCCGAGACAAGUGCAUCGAGAUGGUCUCUGUGGCUCUGCAAAUGGA